UAAUUUUCAUUAUUUAGAUUUAUUUGACUUAAUUGGAUACAUGCAACUUUAAUUUUGAUCAUCAGCAAAAGAAUGGACGGGUGCAUUAGAUCAUUAUUUAUUUAUUUUUAUUGUUGGCCUUAGCUUAUGCAUGACAUACAUGUGAGUCUGAUUUAAAAGGCUUGCCAUAGCCCCAUUAACAUAUGCAUUAUCAAGGAAAAAAAAGGGAAGGGGAGAAAAGAAAAAGAAAUAUGUAAUUAAGAUUUUUUUUUUCUCUCUCAACUUGUCUCCUUUUCAUGGUCAUCUUUGCUGUGGUCAGAUUGCUGCUCAGAAUCUCAUCCUAGUCAAAUAGAACUGCAACUGAAAAACAGUUGCAUAGCUACAUAUUCUCGUUGUUGAUUCAUGUGUUGCAUUUAAAAGAACACUCGCAGAGCAUCCACAACUUUCUCAGGCCAGUCCUCCUGUGGCAUAUGACCAGCACCUUCUAUCAACUUCAGCUUUACAACAUCAGGAUUUCCUUUCUGGAACUCUUCUGCCACAGAUUGAGGCAAAAAUUUGUCUGCUAUUCCCCAAGCAAGAAGUAUUGGUUUAUCCCAUCUUUCAGUUGCAAAGCCAUUGGCUAUUUGGCUUGAAAUAUCUUGGAAAUUAAUCUUUCUUGCAGCCUCGAGGAGAGCUGAAACAACAAUUUUGAACUUAGCUCGCCUUGACAAUUGCAACCGCUCCGUAAUCAAAGGAUUACUUGUAAUGAUUGAUGCAUUUUACAACACAACCAUAUGGUAUGUGUGUGUGUCAGCUGUCAGCUUUCAGCUCAAUGAAAACAAUUGCAGUAUCAGUUCUUCUUAAAUGAAGAAAAAGAAUUGAGAUACAAACCAAAUCCUGGUCCACUACUUGCCAAAUAUGGUAAUCGGUAAACGUCAGCCUUUUCUGUCUUCAGGACAUAACUGCUUCAAUAAAGCGUUCAGCCAUAACAGCAUUUUGGGAAGUAAAUUCUCCAAAAAGAGGAAUUCUGCAUACAGUGUAUAAGAAUAAAUAAAUAAAAAUAAGAAGAAAGAAAAUAAUUAAAAGAAAAAAACAAAGGUUGGACAUGCUUGAAAGAGACUACGAAAGAAGCAUCAAACCAUGCAAGGCUCACAGGUAGCUUAUAUAAUCCUCAUAAUACAACAUGUUAUGGGCAUUUUAUCAAACAGAAUAAUCACAGAACCUUAGCUUUUGAAAUAGCCCAGGAACAGGAGAUGAAACUGUUAAUGGACUGUUCAAAAUUGCCAUCUUUGAUAUCUUGCUAUUGUUUUUCAGGGCCCAAGUCAAUCCAUAAGAACCUACAAGAAACCCCUUUGGGGAGAAUAUGAGACGCACACAUUAGGUGCACAGCUUUACUUGAAUAAACCUCUAAAACAAUUUAUCAAGUUACUGGAAAACAGAACCAGCAUAUGCAGAUUCAGGAUGUUUUAUAAAUGUAUUGAUGCCCUGCAUAAUAUUUUGCCACAAAUGCAAAUCAAUAACUUGUAUUCAGAAGCUUCACCCAAACCUGAACAACAAGAAAGAAGGGAGAUUUAAUGUCCAGAACAUCAAGUAAUU
This 1554-nucleotide unclassified non-coding RNA is filed under the name Hevea brasiliensis (rubber tree). Lineage: Eukaryota; Viridiplantae; Streptophyta; Magnoliopsida; Malpighiales; Euphorbiaceae. The record is from RNAcentral.